UGUGGUUUAAUUCGAAGCAACGCGAAGACCUUACCAGGUCUUGACAUCCCGAUGCUAUUCUAGAGAUAGAAAGUUACUUCGGUACAUCGGUGACAGGUGGUGCAUGGUUGUCGUCAGCUCGUGUCGUGAGAUGUUGGGUUAAGUCCCGCAACGAGCGCAACCCCUAUUGUUAGUUGCCAUCAUUCAGUUGGGCACUCUAGCGAGACUGCCGGUAAUAAACCGGAGGAAGUGGGGAUGACGUCAAAUCAUCAUGCCCCUUAUGACCUGGGCUACACACGUGCUACAAUGGUUGGUACAACGAGUUGCGAGUCGGUGACGGCGAGCUAAUCUCUUAAAGCCAAUCUCAGUUCGGAUUGUAGGCUGCAACUCGCCUACAUGAAGUCGGAAUCGCUAGUAAUCGCGGAUCAGCACGCCGCGGUGAAUACGUUCCCGGGCCUU
RNAcentral lists this ribosomal RNA (438 nucleotides) under uncultured Streptococcus sp. RNAcentral describes it as "bacterial SSU rRNA". It matches the Rfam family "Bacterial small subunit ribosomal RNA", at positions 940 to 1382 of the family's 1533-position model. Lineage: Bacteria; Bacillati; Bacillota; Bacilli; Lactobacillales; Streptococcaceae. The record is from RNAcentral.